Molecule: long non-coding RNA, 3445 nt
Organism: Oncorhynchus tshawytscha (Chinook salmon)
Lineage: Eukaryota; Metazoa; Chordata; Actinopteri; Salmoniformes; Salmonidae
Source: Ensembl
CCCCCUCCCUCCCCACAGAGGAGGAGACAUACCGGGAUACCAAACCCCCCCCCCACAGAUGAGGACACCUAACCGGGAUACCAAACCCCCCUCCCCACAGAUGAGGACACCUAACCGGGAUACCAACCCCUCCCUCCCCACAGAGGAGGAGACCUAACUGGGAUACCAAAACCCCCCCUCCCCACAGAGGAGGACACCUAACUGGGAUACCAAACCCCCUCCCUCCUCACUAAAAAAAUAUAAUAUUUCAUGUUUAGCUUCUGCUUCUCUGCAUGGAGCCUACGGUAGUAUUACCCUCAAUAAGAAAAUGGUGACUUCCAUAUUGCUAUUCAUUUUUACAGCAUUUAUGUAUUUUUAAUUUGUAUUAUAUACAUAUUAUGGCCUAUACAGAACAAAAUUGAAACACGGAACAAAAUGUGCAUAGAAAAACAAAAUAGUCAAAUGAGUUUUCUAGUGCCUUGAACUUUAACCCUCUUAUUUAUGUCCUACAUACUCAAACGGAAGUGCCUCCCUGGACUAUAGUCAAUUAGAUCAGAUCCUCUAUACCGGUCACGAGAUGCAUUAUUAUAGUACCAACCAACCUGCACAGUCAGAAGAGGGUAACAGGUAAACAGUAAUAUAGAAUAUGUCGUUAAUGGUUCCCAGUACAGACUGUAAUAUAGGGCCUGAGGACAGAGAGGAACCACACACACACACAGCUGUCCAGGAGGAGAGAGAGAGACAGAGAGAGAGGGGGGGGGAGAGAGAGAAAGAAGAUGAGUGAGAGAGUGAACUUGACAGAAACAAAUAUGGAAUGGCAUCCACUGACCCUUGAUGUGGGAAGUUCAACAGAGGCCACGUUCUAGAGCGGUCACAUGGUUCUAGAGUGUUCACAUGGUUCUAUAGAGUUCACAUGCAUGGUUCUAGAGUGUUCACAUGGUUCUAUAGAGUUCACAUGGUUGUAGAGCGGUCACAUGGUUCUAGAGUGUUCACAUGGUUCUAGAGUGUUCACAUGGUUGUAGAGCGGUCACAUGGUUCUAGAGUGUUCACAUGGUUCUAUAGAGUUCACGUGGUUGUAGAGCGUUCACGUGGUUGUAGAGCGGUCACGUGGUUGUAGAGCGGUCACAUGGUUGUAGAGCGGUCACGUGGUUGUAGAGCGGUCACAUGGUUCUAGAGUGUUCACAUGGUUGUAGAGCGGUCACAUGGUUCUAGAGUGUUCACAUGGUUCUAGAGCGGUCACAUGGUUCUAGAGUGUUCACAUGGUUCAAGAAUGUUCAAAAGGUUCUAGAGUGGUCACAUGGUUCUAGAGUGUUCACAUGGUUCUAGAAUGUUCACAUGCUUCUAGAGUGUUCACAUGGUUCUAGAGUUUUCACAUGGUUCUAGGGUGUUCAAAUGGUUCUAGAGUGGUCACGUGGUUGUAGAUUCUAUCCAUCCAUCCUCUGUUUGUCUGCCUGUUAAGUCUGUUGUGUGACAACAAACAAAACCCUUUUGUAUAGAAACAGCCUUCCAUUGUGCCCAGCGAUCACCUUCCAACUCUAAGAGAUGUGUUUCUGGGGCAUUACUGAAUCAAGACCUUCUGGCAUAUCCAAACUUGCACCAACUGUUGUUGUCGUUCACUAAACGAUAAUAACAACAAGCAUCGAUAUUCUGCUAAAAGUGACUGAACAGUGCCCAUGUCUCUGGCUGUAUUAUGGGAAUGAUAGUGUAUUUGACAUCGUCACAGACAUACCUGUCUAAACAACGAGCUCUACUGCACUAGUAAGUCCCCGACCGUCCCCUUCCACACUCACCCCUGUCUGUCUCCCUGUCUGGCUGUUUGUUUGUUUGUUUGCCUACCUUCCUGCCUGCCUGCCUGCCUGCCUGCCUGCCUGCCUGCCUGCCUGUCUGUCUGUCUGUCUGUCUGUCUGUCUGUCUGUCUGUCUGUCUGUCUGUCUGUCUGUCUGUCUGUCUGUCUGUCUGUCUGUCUGUCUGCCUGUCUGCACAGAGCUACUCAGCAUUCAUCUCAACAUGAUGUCUGCGUCCCAAAUGACACCGUAGUCCCUGUUUAAUGCACUACUUUAGACCAGGACCCACAGGGUGCCAUUUGGGAGGCAGAAAAGAGCAUUAUGAACGUUAUGAAAGCCAAAGGCAUUAGUCACUUUGCAUGCAAACAAAAUGGCAGCCCUCCGCUUCUGUUUUGGAUGACAAGAGAAAGAGCAUAGGAGAGAUGGAAAGAAGUAGAGAGGGAGUGAGGGAGUGAGGGAGUGAGGGAGUUGGAGCACGACAGAGUGCCAGCCGGGCGGGAUGUAGGAAGGAAGGAGGGAGAGGAAAUUAAUGCUGUGUUGUAACGUUUCAUGUUUCAGCUGGCUGUAGAGGCUUACCUGCUAUGUUGUAACGUUAUAUGUUUCAGCUGGCUGUAGAGGCUUACCUGCUAUGUUGUAACGUUAUAUGUUUCAGCUGGCUGUAGAGGCUUAGCUGCUAUGUUGUAACAUUAUAUGUUUCAGCUGGCUGUAGAGGCUUAGCUGCUAUGUUGUAACGUUAUAUGUUUCAGCUGGCCGUAGAGGCUUACCUGCUAUGUUGUAACGUUAUAUGUUUCAGCUGGCUGUAGAGGCUUAGCUGCUAUGUUGUAACGUUAUAUGUUUCAGCUGGCUGUAGAGGCUUAGCUGCUAUGUUGUAACGUUAUAUGUUUCAGCUGGCUGUAGAGGCUUAGCUGCUAUGUUGUAACAUUAUAUGUUUCAGCUGGCUGUAGAGGCUUAGCUGCUAUGUUGUAACAUUAUAUGUUUCAGCUGGCUGUAGAGGCUUAGCUGCUAUGUUGUAACAUUAUAUGUUUCAGCUGGCUGUAGAGGCUUACCUGCUAAGAUGUUUGACACCAUGGAUGGACAGUACAGUGUAGUACGACUAUUUAUUUAGUCCUGCUCUUGAUAAUAUGUAUGAUGAGACACAUACCAACUUGCCUUUGGCUUGAAUGAGAGACACAGUCAAAAGAGGCACUUGAAGACUGUAUGUUUUUAAUUGGCUGGUUUUCAGACCUAUAUGAUAAAAAUAUAGAUUGUGCCCUUGUUAAUUGAAAGCAUCCUUUUAAACUGGUUUCCACGUUGGGAUAGUUCCAGUACCAGCUGCCUAAAGCACUAGAAUGUUCUAUAUUAGUUUAUUUAGAUUCUCACUAGAUUGUUCUAUAUUUGUUUAUUUAGUUUCUCACUACAUUGUUCUAUGUUCUAUAUUUGUUUAUUUAGUUUCUCACUACAUUGUUCUAUGUUCUAUAUUUGUUUAUUUAGUUGACCGCUUGCAGAGUGAUAAAGGGUGUAGAUAUAGGGUGUUAAUCUGAUAUGAUUCAACCCCUCUCCAAUACAGUUUUAUUAUAGGGUGUUAUCUAAAUGAUUCAACCCCUCUCCAAUACAGUUUUAUUAUAGGGUGUUCAUCUGAUAUGAUUCAACCCCUCUCCAAUACAGUUUUAUUAUAGGGUGUUCAUCUAAAUGUUUCAACCCCU